AUUGAACGCUGGCGGCAGGCCUAACACAUGCAAGUCGAGCGGAUGAAGGGAGCUUGCUCCUGGAUUCAGCGGCGGACGGGUGAGUAAUGCCUAGGAAUCUGCCUGGUAGUGGGGGAUAACGUCCGGAAACGGGCGCUAAUACCGCAUACGUCCUGAGGGAGAAAGUGGGGGAUCUUCGGACCUCACGCUAUCAGAUGAGCCUAGGUCGGAUUAGCUAGUUGGUGGGGUAAAGGCCUACCAAGGCGGCGAUCCGUAACUGGUCUGAGAGGAUGAUCAGUCACAUGGGAACUGAGACACGGUCCAGACUCCUACGGGAGGGAGCAGUGGGGAAUAUUGGACAAUGGGCGAGAGCAUGAUCCAGCCAUGCCGCGUGUGUGACGAAGGUCUUCGGAUUGUAAAGCACUUCAAGUUGGGAGAAAGGGCAGUAAGUUAAUACCUUGCUGUUUUGACGUUACCAACAGAAUAAGCACCGGCUAACUUCGUG
Molecule: ribosomal RNA, 484 nt
Filed under: uncultured bacterium
Lineage: Bacteria
Description: partial 16S ribosomal RNA
Rfam family: Bacterial small subunit ribosomal RNA
Source: RNAcentral